This 1188-nucleotide long non-coding RNA is filed under the name Mytilus galloprovincialis (Mediterranean mussel). Lineage: Eukaryota; Metazoa; Mollusca; Bivalvia; Mytilida; Mytilidae. The record is from RNAcentral.
AAACAAAGUUAUAUGAAAAAUUGAUUCCCUGCAUUAUAAUUUAUUGUCCCAGUUCAAUUGACACUGAAUAAUAAAGAAUUUGCCAUUUUUCGUCUGCAGAAAAAAAUGACCGCCAAAGUCAAACAUUCUUAUUACCAGUGGUUGGAUAUUGUACAUACCUAUCAUAUAGAUAUGCCAAAAACUAUUUCUCUGAAGCUACUAAAAAAGAUAAGACCCAAACUUUAAAGUCUCAUGAUGGUCAAAAUUGCAAGGAACACACCACUUCGUGAUAACCAUCUGAUAUACCAAAGAUGUAAGAACAAGGUCAAAAGUUAUGGGUUGGUCAUUUUCAUGCAAAAAAACUACAUUAAGUUGACUUUAUGGUUAAAUUGAGAACACAUGAAGGUCAUCAUGGUGCAACACACAUUAUCUGAUGAUGAUUCAUCUACAUACCUAAGAUCUAAGGCCAAGGUCAAAAGACAACAAGGCAUGGUAAAGUGUUUAUAUUAAAAAGUAAAAUUGACCUUGAGGUCAAAUAUAAGGUCACAUGAAGAUCAUCACAAUACAGGACACUCCAUCUCAUUAUUAUACAUCCCCAUACAAAAGAUGCAAGACCUAUGUCAAAGGACAAAAAAAACGCAUAUGGCCUUGUCUUUUUAAUUCUAUCAAAACAUACAUUUAUUUGACCUUGAGGUCAAAGUACAAGGUCACAUGAAGUCAUCAUGAAAUGUGACACUCUACCUCAUGAUGAUACAUCAACAUACAAAAUAUCUAAGCCCUAGGUCAAAAGACAAGAAAACAAUGCCCCAAUUAUAUUAUCAGAAUGGAAAUUGCUCUUAUUUAUUGAGGGUGGUGGUAAUAUAAAAAAAUUAAAUUGAAAAAAAUCUGGUGGUUAAAAGUUUAUAAUAUUUCACAAAUUUAACAAAAUAAUAUAGCAGAACAAGUGGUUAGUUUUUAAAAAAAAUUAAACGACACAUUUUUUUUUUUUUUUAAUUUUGUCUUCAAAUACUGGACCCCAAAAAGUCACUUUUGCGUGCGGAAUUUAAGAACCCCCUUUUUUAAUUCGGACAAAAAUUUAAAUCCAGAACAAAAAAAAUACAAGCAAAAGGAACUGGUGAACUAAUAUUUGUCUUAGUUUUCACUAUUAACUAUGCUUUUGUCAAUUUAGGAUCAUUUUUAAUUUUUUUUAACAUAUAUACCCCUAUACCC